This 905-nucleotide unclassified non-coding RNA is filed under the name Leishmania donovani. Its description in RNAcentral is "gene:LdHU3.07.0280(CDS-product:hypothetical_prote in_conserved)". The record is from RNAcentral. Lineage: Eukaryota; Euglenozoa; Kinetoplastea; Trypanosomatida; Trypanosomatidae.
CAGCGCCCCCCCCCCUUCUCCCUCUCUCCUCAUACGUAUUCGCAGGCGCUCGCAAGAGAAGCCGUAGGAUCUGCCAUCUACUCACUCAAGAAGAUGCCGCUCUUCUCUCUUCCCGCGCACGAGGCGGACACGCCGCCGGAGCCCUUAGACGCGGACUCGCGGCGGCAUUCGUGCGGUGAUGACGUGGAGCUGUGCUGCCGCCUUACCGCAGCAGAGGAGCUGCACGGACACCUGCGUGACUGCUUCAGCCUCUUCGCCUCUCGCUUCGAGCACACCACCGUCGCUCUCGCGUGCAUUCAAGCGCUUUUCCCGUCGUCGCCGCCACCGGCACGGAGUGGGGCGCUUCCCGGCACACCGGAGGCAAGCGAGGCGGAGGCUGACGCGCCACGAUCAGCAGGCGGCGCCUUCGACCUCUCUACCGUGGCCACAGUGCUGUUCCUCCACGUUGAGGACAAGCUGGGCGCUUGCCUUGGUGCCGCUGCUGGAAGCAAUGACGAAGCCAAGACACCGCUGCUGGGGGUUGUCGUCGCCUUCCAGUACUGGAGGGGGUUUCAUUGCGUUGCCGAGCGUCGUUACGCCUCGGCAGCGGAGGCGCAGGGCGAAGCAGCGGCGCUGGAGAGAGGGAAUCUCACCGUGUCUGAGCUGCUGAGGAUGCCGCAGUGGCAGCUGAUUAGCGAGUCGGCGGCGGAGGCGAGCCUCUCGCCCACUCCGGGCAGCGGCCAUGCAAAACUCAACACAAGUCCUGGGAGCACCGAUCUGACGUCGGGCUUUUCUGGUAUAGAGGAGAAUACAGUAGCGAAACAUGGCGCCGCGUACGAGAGUCUCAUGGCUCUGAUGGUGGACACGUACCUCUGAAUAUGCGCGCGUGUGUGAGCCUACUUCUCUCUGCUCUCUGGAUCACUGGU